Molecule: ribosomal RNA, 712 nt
Filed under: Huberodendron patinoi
Lineage: Eukaryota; Viridiplantae; Streptophyta; Magnoliopsida; Malvales; Malvaceae
Description: eukaryotic LSU rRNA
Rfam family: 5.8S ribosomal RNA (bases 293-448)
Source: RNAcentral
CCCGUCCAGCGGAACGACCGGCGAACUCGUUGUUAACCAAGCCGACGGAGGGGGCGACGACGCGCCCGCGCCACGAGCCCCCUGCGUGCCCCCGAGCGCGAGACCGUGCCCCGCCACGCCUACCCGGCGGGGUGGAGGCCCGGUCCCGUCGCUCGUGGACGAACAACAAAACCCCCGGCGCGAAUCGCGCCAAGGAAUCGGAACAAGAAAGAGAGCGUCCGACCUCGCCGACCCGUUCGCGGUGCUCGUGCGGGCGACGACGCGGCUCCUUUCGUCGCGAAAAACAGAAAACGACUCUCGGCAACGGAUAUCUCGGCUCUCGCAUCGAUGAAGAACGUAGCGAAAUGCGAUACUUGGUGUGAAUUGCAGAAUCCCGUGAACCAUCGAGUCUUUGAACGCAAGUUGCGCCCCAAGCCACUAGGCCGAGGGCACGUCCGCCUGGGUGUCACGCAUCGUCGCCCCCUCCGUCCUUCGGCCCCUCGGGCUUCGGACGAGGCGGGGGCGGAGAAUGGCCUCCCGCGCGCUCCCCGCUCGCGGUUGGCCCAAAAUCGAGUCCCCGGCGACGGCGGCGCCGCGACGAUCGGUGGUGAUGCUUUGAGCGUUCCUCGUCUCCCGUCGCGCGCGCUUCCGUUCGCGAACGGACCCCUCGAGACCCUUCGAGCGUCGCGGGAAAGGCGCUCGCGUCGCGACCCCAGGUCGGGCGGGAUCACCC